RNAcentral lists this ribosomal RNA (449 nucleotides) under uncultured prokaryote. Its description in RNAcentral is "bacterial SSU rRNA". It matches the Rfam family "Bacterial small subunit ribosomal RNA", at positions 355 to 796 of the family's 1533-position model. The record is from RNAcentral.
CUAAGAAUCUUCCGCAAUGGACGAAAGUCUGACGGAGCGACGCCGCGUGGGUGAAGAAGGCCGGAAGGUUGUAAAGCCCUUUUCUUGCUGAGGAAUAAUCACCGGAGGGAAUGCAGGUGAGAUGACGGUAGGCGAGGAAUAAGCCCCGGCCAAUUACGUGCCAGCAGCCGCGGUAACACGUAUGGGGCGAGCGUUGUUCGGAAUCAUUGGGCGUAAAGGGCGCGUAGGCGGCGAGGUAAGCCUGGUGUGAAAGCCCGCAGCUUAACUGCGGAGUCGCGCUGGGAACUGCCGUGCUUGAGUUCAGGAGGGGGAGCUGGAAUUCCAGGUGUAGGGGUGAAAUCUGUAGAGAUCUGGAAGAACACCGGCGGCGAAGGCGAGCUCCUGGCCAUGAACUGACGCUGAGGCGCGAAAGCGUGGGGAGCGAACAGGAUUAGAUACCCCCGUAGUCC